GCGGCACGCCUUAUACAUGCAAGUCGAACGAAGUAGCAAUACUUAGUGGCAGACGGGUGAGUAACAUGUAGGUAUCUACCCUUUGGUGAGGAAUAACACGAGGAAACUUGUGCUAAUACCUCAUAAGUCUUUACGGAGAAAGCUUUAUGCGCCGAAGGAUGAGCCUGCACUUGAUUAGUUUGUUGGUGGGGUAAUGGCCUACCAAGACUUUGAUCUAUAGCUGAUCUGAGAGGAUGAUCAGCCACAUUGGGACUGAGACACGGCCCAAACUCCUACGGGAGGCAGCAGUAGGGAAUAUUGCACAAUGGAGGAAACUCUGAUGCAGCGAUGCCGCGUGAGUGAAGAAGGCCUUUGGGUUGUAAAGCUCUUUCGUCGGGGAAGAAAAUGACUGUACCCGAAUAAGAAGGUCCGGCUAACU
RNAcentral lists this ribosomal RNA (418 nucleotides) under uncultured bacterium. RNAcentral describes it as "bacterial SSU rRNA". It matches the Rfam family "Bacterial small subunit ribosomal RNA", at positions 39 to 502 of the family's 1533-position model. The record is from RNAcentral.